This is a long non-coding RNA of Ctenopharyngodon idella (grass carp), 2112 nucleotides long. RefSeq lists it as uncharacterized. The record is from RefSeq and is a predicted model, not a curated record. NCBI's taxonomy places the organism in Eukaryota, Metazoa, Chordata, Actinopteri, Cypriniformes, Xenocyprididae. The transcript has 4 exons.
UUGUUGCUAUGUCAUUUCGAGGGUGUUCUAGGUGUUUUUAUCUGAUUCCCCCUUAGUUCUCUGUAAUCUUCUGGUCAGGGAUCCACCGAAAUUUCAGCAUUCAAAAAUUGUUUUCAGCACUGAAAAGUCAUUUCACUCAGCGACCAUCUUUGAAAUGCACCUGCUAUUUCAGUCAUGCAAGUACAUCUCUUUGAAUGGGGAAACAUCAAAUCUGUUCACCAGGUUACAUUACAUUUCAUAUUUGAAAUCAGCAAUGAAAUCUGAAAACAACUGUCUCAUAAAUGUGGUUUCUUAUGUUAAAAUAGCAUUUAAAAAAGCUUAUUUUUCAGGCUGGACCAGCCAAUGCACAUUUGCAGUCAUAGGUGCGCAUCUCAGAGCAUUGACUGUUUCUAAAGCAACCGGGGGCGGUUGCAUAAACUGCUAAGGCUAGUCUUACAAGUUAGUCAUAAUUUUUUUUUCUUUAAAGGGUUAGUUCACCCAAAAAUGAAAAUUAUGUCAUUAAUUACUCACCCUCAUGUCGUUCCACACCUGUAAGACCUUCGUUCAUCUUCAGAACACAAGAUAUUUUUGAUAAAAUCCGAUGGCUCAGUGAGGCCUGCAUCGCCAGCAAUAACACUCCCUUUUUCAAUGCCCAGAAAGCUACUAAAAACAUAUUUAAAACAGUUCAUGUGACUACAGUGGUUCAACUUUAAUAUUAUAAAGUGACGAGAAUACUUUUUGUGCACCAAAAAUAACAAAUUUUUCCACAAUAUCUAGCGAUUUCAAAACACUGCUUCAUGAAGCUUCGAAGCUUUAAGAAUCAUUUGUUUCGAAUCAGUGGUUCAGAGCACCAAAAUCACAUGAUUUCAGUAAACGAGGCUUCGUUAUGUCAUAAGUGUUUUGAAACUUUUAUAGUUCACGUGACUUUGGCAGUUUGAGUCACGCUUCGAACCACUGUUGUCACAUGAACUGUUUUAAAUAUGUUUUUAGUAGCUUUCUGGGCAUUGAAAGAAGGGAGUGUUAUCGCUGGCUUUACUGAGCCAAUUGGAUUUUAUCAAAAAUAUCUUAAUUUGUGUUGAACGAAAAAACGAACGAAAGUUUUACGGGUGUGGAACAACAUGAGGCUGUUCAGUGAGCUGAAUGCUCUUCUGAUGUUGUAUCACGGUGGCAUCCAUGAUUUACGAGCAUCCAAAUGAAGUAUGACAUAUGGCAAGGGAUUUUGAGUCAAACAAACUCAAUCCUGAUCACAUCUUGUCCUGUCAGAUCAAAGCCUGUCUGUCAGCUUGCAGUCUUACGUGGCAGAGACGGCUGUGAAAAUGGAAAGGUGACUGGGGAAACAGGGAGACGAGAGCAGCAUCAGUGAAGAAUGGAAAAAAUCACACGAAAUUAUGGAGUUCCCAUUGACAUGCAUUAUACGACUGACAGACCGCAACGGUUGGAGUUAAAAAUCAUCAUUUGUGUUUACUGAAGAAACAAAGUCACCUACAUCUUGGAUGCCCUGGGGAGUGAUUAGUGAUCUGAUUGGCAGCGGUCCAGUGUAAAUCCAGAAACAGAGCAGCACAAUCUCAUGAGAGAGUGUUCAGUUACAGUCCAAGAGGUCCAGCCUCCUUCCCAGCAGAGCUCUGAAUAAUAAUCAUAAUCAUAAUCAUAUUUUUUUGUAUGUAGCUCAGAGGAACAUUUCUUUUUGUCAGCGUAUUGCCGACAGUGGCACAUCUUAUCAUGCGACAUCAUUAAAACAGAGAGGGUUCAUAUGAGGGAUAGUGAAAUGAAGUAUGUGUUUCUGUGGGAGACACUGAAGCCCCAGGUCUGCCACUGACUGCAGAGAAGGAUAAUACUUGUGAACUUAAAGUAUUGAAGCAAAAGAACUGAUAAUGGAAGGGCAGAGAGAGAAACAACCCAAAAGAACAGUGGGAGGCUGGCAAGAACCCUCCCACUGCAAGCACUGGCCACAGCUAGGACUUUACCAGCCUCAGGUGUGAGAAACUUCCUCUGGAUACAACAGUGACUGCGAAUAUUAACAUGAGUCAUGCUCAAGUUGUGUGUGUGGCUGCAUCUGAAAGCUUAAAAAUGCUGUCUUCCAAGGUAGGAAGGCAUCAAGGCACACCCGAAUCCAAUGUUAGCUGAAUACCUUAA